RNAcentral lists this long non-coding RNA (329 nucleotides) under Brassica napus (rape). RNAcentral describes it as "long non-coding RNA (BNAP_LNC011452)". Lineage: Eukaryota; Viridiplantae; Streptophyta; Magnoliopsida; Brassicales; Brassicaceae. The record is from RNAcentral.
GCAUGUCGAAAGUACAAAUGUUACCUCUUGCUUCGUCACCAUCAACUAUGUAUUCAAAAAAAUAAAAAAAAUUAGCUUUAUGUACUUCAGAAUGAGGUGAUGAAGGAGGAGAAGAUUCCUAAGAAAGACAGACGCCACUGGUAAAAUAGAAGGGAGUGUAAAGUGAAGAGAUGAGAACCAUGCGGAUCAGAGCUACUGUUCCUAAAGAAUAACAAGCAAAAACGAGUAGAGGCUGUGGACAUCAAUGGAUCUAUCAUCUCUUGCAAUUUUGCGCGAUAUCCUGCAUCCUCUACGAAAAUUGGUAACCCCUAAACACUGAUUUGCUCCAC